UACGAAGGGUGCAAGCGUUACUCGGAAUUACUGGGCGUAAAGCGUGCGUAGGUGGUUUUUUAAGUCCGUUGUGAAAGCCCUGGGCUGAACCUGGGAAUGGCAGUGGAUACUGGAAAGCUAGAGUGCGGUAGAGGGUAGUGGAAUUCCCGGUGUAGCAGUGAAAUGCGUAGAGAUCGGGAGGAACACCAGUGGCGAAGGCGGCUACCUGGACCAGCACUGACACUGAGGCACGAAAGCGUGGGGAGCAAACAGG
RNAcentral lists this ribosomal RNA (253 nucleotides) under uncultured bacterium. Its description in RNAcentral is "partial 16S ribosomal RNA". It matches the Rfam family "Bacterial small subunit ribosomal RNA", at positions 524 to 776 of the family's 1533-position model. The record is from RNAcentral.